RNAcentral lists this ribosomal RNA (406 nucleotides) under Aeromonas hydrophila. Its description in RNAcentral is "bacterial SSU rRNA". It matches the Rfam family "Bacterial small subunit ribosomal RNA", at positions 45 to 447 of the family's 1533-position model. Lineage: Bacteria; Pseudomonadati; Pseudomonadota; Gammaproteobacteria; Aeromonadales; Aeromonadaceae. The record is from RNAcentral.
GGCUACACAUGCAAGUCGAGCGGCAGCGGGAAAGUAGCUUGCUACUUUUGCCGGCGAGCGGCGGACGGGUGAGUAAUGCCUGGGGAUCUGCCCAGUCGAGGGGGAUAACUACUGGAAACGAUAGCUAAUACCGCAUACGCCCUACGGGGGAAAGCAGGGGACCUUCGGGCCUUGCGCGAUUGGAUGAACCCAGGUGGGAUUAGCUAGUUGGUGAGGUAAUGGCUCACCAAGGCGACUAUCCCUAGCUGGUCUGAGAGGAUGAUCAGCCACACUGGAACUGAGACACGGUCCACAGACUCCCGGGAGGCAGCAGUGGGGAAUAUUGCACAAUGGGGGAAACCCUGAUGCAGCCAUGCCGCGUGUGUGAAGAAGGCCUUCGGGUUGUAAAGCACUUUCAGCGAGGAGG